UUUGAACGCUGGCGGCAUGCUUUACACAUGCAAGUCGAACGGUAACAGGCCUUCGGGUGCUGACGAGUGGCGAACGGGUGAGUAAUGCAUCGGAACGUACCCAGAGGUGGGGGAUAACGCAGCGAAAGCUGUGCUAAUACCGCAUGUGAUCUGAGGAUGAAAGCGGGGGACCGAGCAGCAAUGUUUGGCCUCGCGCCUUUGGAGCGGCCGAUGUCGGAUUAGCUAGUUGGUGGGGUAAAGGCCUACCAAGGCGACGAUCCGUAGCUGGUCUGAGAGGACGACCAGCCACACUGGGACUGAGACACGGCCCAGACUCCUACGGGAGGCAGCAGUGGGGAAUUUUGGACAAUGGGCGCAAGCCUGAUCCAGCAAUGCCGCGUGCGGGAAGAAGGCCUUCGGGUUGUAAACCGCUUUUGGCAGGAACGAAACGGUGUCCGCUAAUACCGGGCGCUAAUGACGGUACCUGCAGAAUAAGCACCGGCUAACUACGUG
This 492-nucleotide ribosomal RNA is filed under the name uncultured bacterium. RNAcentral's name for it is "partial 16S ribosomal RNA". It matches the Rfam family "Bacterial small subunit ribosomal RNA", at positions 29 to 507 of the family's 1533-position model. The record is from RNAcentral.